AUUGAACGCUGGCGGCAGGCCUAACACAUGCAAGUCGAACGAGUGGCGGACUGGUGAGUAAUUUCUGGGAAACUGCGCGAUGGAGGGGGAUAACUACUGGAAACGGUAGCUAAUACCGCAUACGAUCGUAUGGGGCCUGGUGGGAUUAGCUAGUAGGUGGGGUAACGGCUCACCUAGGCGACGAUCCCUAGCCGGUCUGAGAGGGUGACCGGCCACACUGGGACUGAGACACGGCCCAGACUCCUACGGGAGGCAGCAGUGGGGAAUAUUGCACAAUGGGCGAAAGUCUGAUCGAGCCACGCCGCGUGUAUGAAGAAGGCCUUCGGGUUGUAAAGUACUUUCGGCGGAGAAGCGUUACCUGCCGAAGAAGCACCGGCUAACUACGUGCCAGCAGCCGCGGUAAUAC
This 406-nucleotide ribosomal RNA is filed under the name uncultured bacterium. RNAcentral describes it as "partial 16S ribosomal RNA". It matches the Rfam family "Bacterial small subunit ribosomal RNA", at positions 30 to 526 of the family's 1533-position model. The record is from RNAcentral.